Molecule: non-coding RNA, 111 nt
Filed under: Sphaeroforma arctica JP610
Lineage: Eukaryota; Ichthyosporea; Ichthyophonida
Description: Eukaryotic small subunit ribosomal RNA
Rfam family: Eukaryotic small subunit ribosomal RNA
Source: Rfam by way of RNAcentral
UAGUAAUGCGACAGCCAAGUAGAAAUUGGAAUGAGUACAAUUUAAACCCCUUAACGAGGAACAAUUGGAGGGCAAGUCUGGUGCCAGCAGCCGCGGUAAUUCCAGCUCCAA